AGAGUUUGAUCCUGGCUCAGGACGAACGCUGGCGGCGUGCUUAACACAUGCAAGUCGAGCGGAAAGGCCCUCUUCGGAGGGUACUCGAGCGGCGAACGGGUGAGUAACACGUGAGUAACCUGCCCCUGACUUUGGGAUAAGCCUGGGAAACUGGGUCUAAUACUGGAUAGGACCAUGCUGGGCAUCUGGUGUGGUGGAAAGAUUUGGUUCGGUUGGGGAUGGGCUCGCGGCCUAUCAGCUUGUUGGUGGGGUGGUGGCCUACCAAGGCGACGACGGGUAGCCGGCCUGAGAGGGUGUCCGGUCACACUGGGACUGAGAUACGGCCCAGACUCCUGCGGGAGGCAGCAGUGGGGAAUAUUGCGCAAUGGGCGGAAGCCUGACGCAGCGACGCCGUGUGGGGGAUGAAGGCCUUCGGGUUGUAAACCUCUUUCACCAUUGACGAAGUCUUGCUCUUUUGGGGUGGGGUGACGGUAGGUGGGGAAGAAGCGCCGGCUAACUACGUGCCAGCAGCCGCGGUAAUACGUAGGGCGCGAGCGUUGUCCGGAUUUAUUGGGCGUAAAGAGCUCGUAGGUGGUUUGUCGCGUCUGCCGUGAAAGCUGACAGCUUAAUUGUGGGUUUGCGGUGGAUACGGGCAUAACUUGAGGCAGGUAGGGGAGAAUGGAAUUCCCGGUGUAGCGGCGAAAUGCGCAGAUAUCGGGAGGAACACCGGUGGCGAAGGCGGUUCUCUGGGCCUUGCCUGACACUGAGGAGCGAAAGCGUGGGGAGCGAACAGGAUUAGAUACCCCCGUAGUCC
This 793-nucleotide ribosomal RNA is filed under the name uncultured Actinomadura sp. Its description in RNAcentral is "bacterial SSU rRNA". It matches the Rfam family "Bacterial small subunit ribosomal RNA", at positions 8 to 796 of the family's 1533-position model. Lineage: Bacteria; Bacillati; Actinomycetota; Actinomycetes; Streptosporangiales; Thermomonosporaceae. The record is from RNAcentral.